AGCUGCGCGUUGAACACAUAGCGAGCUAUUCUUUCGCCUUUUACUAAAGAAUACCGUGUGUUCGUCGCAAUCCAAGUAGUAUACACCAUUUUUUGGAGGGUAUUUUCACUAUAGAAGAUC
Molecule: small nuclear RNA, 120 nt
Organism: Salvia splendens (bonfire salvia)
Lineage: Eukaryota; Viridiplantae; Streptophyta; Magnoliopsida; Lamiales; Lamiaceae
Product: U5 spliceosomal RNA
Exons: 1
Source: RefSeq, a predicted model, not a curated record